UACAGAGGUCCCAAGCGUUGUUCGGAUUCACUGGGCGUAAAGGGUGCGCAGGCGGUUUGUCGCGUCUGCCGUGAAAGUCCGGGGCUCAACUCCGGAUCUGCGGUGGGUACGGGCAGACUAGAGUGAUGUAGGGGGAGACUGGAAUUCCCAGUGUAGAGGUGAAAUUCGUAGAUAUUGGGAAGAACACCCGGUGGCGAAGGCGGCUCUCUGGACCGAUACUGACGCUGAGGCGCGAAAGCGUGGGGAGCAAACAGG
This 255-nucleotide ribosomal RNA is filed under the name uncultured bacterium. Its description in RNAcentral is "partial 16S ribosomal RNA". It matches the Rfam family "Bacterial small subunit ribosomal RNA", at positions 524 to 776 of the family's 1533-position model. The record is from RNAcentral.